UUAUAUGUAGGUAUUUAUAUAAAUAUACUAAAAUUGGAACAAUACAGAGAAGAUUAGCAUGGCUCCUGUGCAAGGUUGAUAUGCAAAUUUGUGAAAUGACCCAUGUUUUU
Molecule: non-coding RNA, 110 nt
Organism: Ictidomys tridecemlineatus (thirteen-lined ground squirrel)
Lineage: Eukaryota; Metazoa; Chordata; Mammalia; Rodentia; Sciuridae
Source: Rfam